This 849-nucleotide ribosomal RNA is filed under the name uncultured bacterium. Its description in RNAcentral is "bacterial SSU rRNA". It matches the Rfam family "Bacterial small subunit ribosomal RNA", at positions 32 to 886 of the family's 1533-position model. The record is from RNAcentral.
GACGCUGGCGGUGCGCCUUAUGCAUGCAAGUCGAGCGAAGCUUUUCAGUAGUUUACUACAGAAAAUGACUGAGCGGCGAACGGGUGAGUAACGCGUGAGCAACCUACCUUAGUUACUGGGAUAGCCCGAGGAAACUCGGAUUAAUACCGGAUAUUCUUAUUUAAUCACAUGAUUUUUUAAGGAAAGGUCAGCCGAACUAAGAUGGGCUCGCGUUCUAUCAGCUAGUUGGUAGGGUAAUGGCCUACCAAGGCUACGACGGAUAGCUGGUCUGAGAGGACGAUCAGCCACACUGGGACUGAGACACGGCCCAGACUCCUACGGGAGGCUGCAGCAGGGAAUAUUGCGCAAUGAGCGAAAGCUUGACGCAGCGACACCGCGUGUGGGAUGACGGAUCUAGGUUUGUAAACCACUUUCAGGAGGGAAGAAAAUGACGGUACCUCCACAAGAAGCCCCGGCCAACUACGUGCCAGCAGCCGCGGUAAUACGUAGGGGGCGAGCGUUGUCCGGAUUUAUUGGGCGUAAAGAGCUCGUAGGCGGUUCAACAAGUCGGUCGUGAAAGUUCAGGGCUCAACCCUGAAAUGUCGAUCGAUACUGUUGUGACUAGGAUACGGUAGAGGUGAGUGGAAUUCCGAGUGUAGCGGUGAAAUGCGUAGAUAUUCGGAGGAACACCAAUUGCGAAGGCAGCUCACUGGGCCGCUAUCGACGCUGAGGAGCGAAAGCUAGGGGAGCAAACAGGAUUAGAUACCCUGGUAGUCCUAGCUGUAAACGAUGGAUACUAGACGUAGGAAUUGGAUUAACGAUUUCUGUGUCGUAGCUAACGCGUUAAGUAUCCCGCCUGGGGAGUACGGU